GCCCUUGUGGCCCAAUGGAUAGGCUAUCGGUCUUCUAAACUGGGGAUCGUGGGUACGAGCCCCACCAAGGGUA
Dryococelus australis is the source of this 73-nucleotide non-coding RNA. NCBI's taxonomy places the organism in Eukaryota, Metazoa, Arthropoda, Insecta, Phasmatodea, Phasmatidae. The record is from the annotation of a GenBank genome assembly.